AUACUUGGAAGUUGCCUCUCUUGGAGUGUUCAGUGAGCCUUCAUCCUCUGAAAGUGGUGUCCUGCCAUUUCUGACCAGAAGUUUCUUCCACUUCGUAGAGACAGCUCCUUUUAGUCUCUCCACAUCAAUAAUGCAUUAAGCUUUAUUUAUGGCUGAGGUCCACUUCUCCAGCUUUUGGUGAUGCUGACUGCUUGUCCCCACAGUGGUGGGCACCUGGAGGCAGCCUGGAAGCACCAAACAGAAGUGGCUGUUGGAAAGAAUAUCCUUGAAUGUCGCCAAGAAGACUCAAGAGCUGAAGGGAGCACCCGAGCUGUGAAACACAGACAGGGCCUGAAAGACAAGUGGGAAACAGUCACCGGAGCGGUCAGCAAAGGCCUCUGUGAGAAGGCUUGUUCUAUUCCUCCGGUCAGGAACGCGGAGCCAACCAGAGCCACAGCAGCAGCACAGCCUCAUUGGUGUGCUCAGUGGUGAGCCCUUCCCUUGGGCUGUGCACCUGCUGAGAUGCCUUAACUACAUCCCAUGUGGGAUUUCAGGGCUUUUUCCAACAAUGACGACAUUCUCUCCAACUUCCUGCAUCUCCUGGGCUAGGAGUUGACUUUCUUGUGGGGAAAAAAAAGUGAUUCCUGUUCCAGAUUUAUGACUUCUGGGAUUUUUUUUUCAGCAUGGGGGUCAAGGCACCAGCUUUCCUAAUUAUGGCCUUCAAAUUAAGUCUGUUUGCAAACAUUCAUUAGUAAAAGCAGCCAGUACCUAUAUCGUGAACAAUGCUACAUGUUUCUGUCAGUAAGUUGCGAGUUUUGCAGCUAAAUACUGAGCAAAAUACGGUGCAGUACCCUGGCAGCACUGACAGCUCAGGGACUUGGAUGGCAUGUUCUCCAUCAGGCACGUUAAUGAACACAUCACUGUUUAUAUGCAGAUUCUGUAAUGAGGAUGUGACUACAUUCCCUGAGCUAUUGGGGUUUUGUAUUGAACUAUGUUCAGUGACUGAAGAAAAGGUCUUCCUCCUCUUCUAAAGAACCUACUUUAUAGCAUUACUGUGAAACCCCAUUUAUCUGUUCUACCAUGCUCUACACAACAGUCGGUGCUGUUUGCUCAGUCAAGGCCUGAUCCUGCAAAAUGCUGAUCUUCAAUUCCUAUUAACUGCUCUGGGGCGUGAAGGUGUUCAACACAUGGGAGGAUGAAACUCAUUAUCCUGCGAGACUAGACAGCAAAUAUCCAAUAAACUAUGGUAUACUAUUAAAUGCUGAAGAGAGGUAAAAUGCAAUUGGAAAAAAAAUGUGUAAUCAGGAAACGGGUUGCAAAGUAAUUACAUGUAUUAUUUUGUGAUCUACUUCAGCUUUAUCCAUUACAUGCUCCAAUUUCAAAUAGCAGCAGAGUUCCUAUAAUAGAGAAAGAGAUUUUGAUACUCCCCAUGGCUGGUUCAUAUAACGUCACCCCUCCAUCCCUUACAGGGCUUUCACUUUACCAUCCAGCAACCCUGAAAUUUUGCUUACUGAGUGAGUUUUCUCACAAAUUCUACCACAGCCUCUCAUCUCUCAUUUUCAAUGUGACAAUGAACCACCAGUGCCAAGUGAACUCAACUAAGAACUAUUUUGAUAGUGUGUACCCCUGUAACCUCUCUGUGGAAAGGUGAACCCCACCCAUCUCUGUCCUAGACAAGAAAAUUAUUUCUGGAACUGCCCUGUUUCAACAGAAAAAUGGACAUGAUAAAAGUAUCAUCCAUGAUUCAGAUAAUAUGAUCAAUAAAAGCUUCAUGGUAAUUCUAGGAGAGCGAAGAUGAUCUUCCCUGAUUCUUAAGACUGUUCUGAAGACUGAAGAGAUCAGAUCUCUCGUUACACAGCUGCUGCAUUUCACAGCUGCCCCUGCACUGAUGCCGGUAACUCAGAGCCCAGCUGAAGUACGCCUUCCAGACAAGCUCUGAUAUAGAGACAUGAGGAGUGCGAUGGUCUGCCUUGAUAAUGAGUGUCAGCUCUUCAUUAUCAUUGGGCAAUUAGCACCAGGUACAGAUUUGAUUUUUCUCAAAGAAAUUAAUUUACAUGAAGAUGAGGAAUGCUAAUGAAACAUCAGCAUUACCAGAACUCACCGUGCUUUAAUCCGUGAUACAUGAGCAUGCCCUGUUCUUUAAGUGGGAAACAGAUACAGAUCUCAUUCACCAUGCUGCUGUUCAUGUUAAUAGACAAUGGCUUUCCAACACUGAAAACAGAUUGUCUUCUCACGAGUAACAUAUACAGGGUAAUUAAUAUACAUAUAGUUAUGUCAACCUCUGCUGGCCACUGACUUAGCUGUGCUGGAGGUGAGCCAGUAGCUGUGCUAUGCAGAAUGCACAGUGCUGAACCACACCUCCAGUGCAGAGACUCACACACCAACUGCAAGCCCAUUUCCUGAGGUCAGAGCUCAGAAAUAAGCAAAUAAGCCUUGUGAGCAAUGUCGGCUGUUAGCUAUUCUUAAAUACAGGCUACCCUGAAGAAAGGAAACAUUCUGGGCACAGAUUGACUGCUUAUUUGCAACCGAACUUCCUCUUGAAGAAUUUGUAUCUUGUAAUUUCUUUUCAGAAAAGGUGACCUGUUACAAGAGGCUACAUGUUCCUGUUGGUGACAGGGGUCUUCUUUCUCUAAUUGUGGUAAAUAGCAACAAUGCUAGCAGGGGAAGAAUACAACGCCAUCUAUACCGACUGGGCAGCUAAACUGGAAACAGUCUCCAGGCUGGGGCCCACACAUAGGUAACCACCUCACGUAAGGGUUCACACGCUUGUCAAGCACAGCACAGCACAGCUCAGGGUCCUUCAGCUCCCACUAUAUUAUGUCUUAACUUUGCUUCACUUAAAUGAAAAUUGUUUGGUCCACAUUACACUGGAAACCACUGGAGGCUGUUGCACUUCCAAAAGGAUGUGAAGAUUUGCUCCAGGGAUGCAUAGAAUGCUGGACGUGCCAUGACACAUUACUGUGACAGAAGGAAGGGGCAGUUCUACAAACGUUACACUUACCCUCAAUAUGAAAGUAAUCAGAAACUUUCAAUGAGCAAGAAGUCAAGAGCAACACUUUCCAAUAAGGUCUGAAAUAGAACUGACACAUGAUUUGCUAGCAGCUGGACUGCUGGGAGCAAAAAGAGGCACCUCAGUCACCACAAAGCCCAGGCAUUUCAUGGCAUGGCACUGAUUUUAAGGAUGAAACUGCAUUCAAGAUACCAACAAGCGAUGCUUGCAUAGGAGCUAACAUAUUAAAUUACAAUUGUUAUGUGUUGGUUGUUGGUAUCUUGUAUGCAAUAGCCUUUCCCGUUCUCCAGGAGCACAUCACCACCCUCUUCACAUGCAGGCACUCACUUCAGGCUGCCCUCACACCAGCUGCAGCUGAGCAACCCAGUGGGAAGAACAUGCUCACACUCACUGCAACUUAUGGAAAUGAAGACCUGUCUAUCUGCACAUGGAAAAUAAGCACUAUUUAUUAAAAACACAAGAAUUUAUCAGAACUCUUCCUUUUUCAGCUACUGUCCAGCCUCCCCAGCAAGUUGGGGGGCAGUGAUAGCCUAGACCCGUCCCCUGCCAUAAGUGGAUAACAGGAAUUGAAGUGACGGUAUUGCCAGUGCCAACAAAAUAUUAAAAACAAAUACACAGAAGGAAGAAUCCUCUUUGGAUGUAUGUUUCGUCACUUGACUGGUUUUCAUUAUCUUGAGCACAGGCCACAAAGAAAGAAGCUCCCAGAGCAUCCAAAAGCAAGGCAGAUCUGUCAAUACUUGCUCAGAGUGAUAUUUAAUCACUUUCACUUCAAUUUUAUGCACAUUUGUUAACUCUUCCAAGCUUAAAGAGGAGAGAUUUACAGUGCAAAAGAUGAAUUUUAUUACAGCCUACGGGCAUCUCAGGCUAUUAAAGAUAUGAAAUAUUGUCUUAGUACUUCCAACAGUGAGCAAAAGCUGACACUGUGAUGGCUACAAGCUUGGAUCUGCUCUGAUUUCCUUUGCAGUCAUCAUGGCAGAUCAUGCUUACUUCUCUUUUUACAUUUUCUUAACGCUUGCCUGGAAACCAGUACCACCCAUGCCAGGUAAAGCAGCAGCUGGUAAUUAGACUCCACUUCUGGCCCAUCCAACAGGGAAAUGGACACGUGUGGCCCCUUCUGUGGCUCUGUGCUGAAAAGCAGAGCUGCGUACACUGCUGCCUUCAGCCAGGGAAUACAUGAGCAGGAACUGAGAGCAACAGCCCUGAAUACUUGCUGAAUACAUGCUCAGCCCAAACCUGACAAAACUGAAAUGUAAUAUCUAAAUGUACAUAAAUUGUUACAUCAUGUUUUCACAUCUCUCCCGUUCUGUUCCCUACUAUCGUGUUGGCAGUGUAUCUAUAACAGACAUACCUACCGUUCUGUAAAAAACUCCCGUGCUCACUGCCUGUGUUGGUGGGCUGUUUGUCUCUGAACUGCAGCCUGAACUGCCUGACUUUUACACAGAUUAUUCAGAACCUCAUGUUUUAAUAAUAGAAUACGAAUAUAUUAAAUUACAGAUAUAACAUGAGUUAAAAGAGUGUUUCUCCAUAAUUGCUUUACAGCCUUCUCAUAAACGACAUCGCAUUUAGCUGUCACACGUCCUUGUCACUCUCAGCAAGGCAGCAACAAUUAGCGGUUCAGCACUGAACACAACCAUAAAUAUCAGUGCUGUUUGAGUCACCAAGAGGUUUGUCAGCAGAUCAAGAAUUACAACAGGGAUUGAGAAGUUGCUAAAGAGAUUGUUUCUUUUUCUCAGUCACUAACUUACCCAGUACCUAAAGGCCUGAUGGCAGCCUGGUGACAAGUACAAAGGUGACAAGGGCUGAUCCUUCCCUGCGUGCUGCCCAUCGAGGAGAUGAUAAUCCCAUGCCGCAUGGCAUUGCCACCCCCCAGCCCUCCAGCUCCUGACAGGAGACCACCAUCCACCCCAUGCUCAGCGCUGCCGUACCUGACAGGCCAGUGAGAAGACAGAGUCCUGCUCGGAUAAUAAAUACCAUGGGAAUGUGUUCUUUCUGUCUGUGUGACUUUUUCAGCCAGCUGUCCUCCAGGAAAGCUCCCAAAGCAUGGUGGAGAAGUGCUUCUGUUAAAUAUGUGGCAAAACAUUACAGUGUGCAAAGCACUCAGCUGAGCAUAUGAAUAACUUUUAGUUCUACUUAAAAGCCUUGCUGAGUUGCAGUAUACCUGACAGCAGCACACUAAGAAGAAUGCAAGUUUUUAUUUAUUUUCUAAUAUAUGCACGGUAUAUAUCUAUUCUGAUGAGCAUGGCCUUCCAGGUUCUGCACAUUAUGCAGAAAUCCCAGCAAGGGCUGCUUGGAGAGUAAAUGCACUUUGGAAAUUAAUAGAACAAUUAUGUAAUAGAACUGUAUAGAUUUAUACAGUCAUCGUGUAUUUCUUAAGCUGCUCUUGUGACAUGCUGUGCAUUACAGCAUGUAUUACUAAUAUACAACUUGUAAUCUCCAUGAGAUGCUGGAAAAUCAAAACCAGAAUGAAAGUGGGUGGUGUCAAUUAUAUUUUAAGUUUGCCUUUGCUUUUUCUCGUUGGUUUUCAUUUUUAAAUUCCUUAGUAAGAUUUUAUCCCCCUGCUUUGCUUUUGGAAAUCAGUUUUCUUCCUUCUUUUGGCCAGAAAUGGGAGGGAUGCCACCGUGAAGUUCUGCAAGCAACCAGGACAAGAACUGCCUGGAGAUGCUGCACACCAGGCAGGGCAGCUCUGCCUCUGCAGUGUUACCCAGCAGGAUCCACAAUCCCUGGAAACUCCUCUUCAUCCCCAUCUCUUUGGGAUAAAUGCAAACUUCUACUAAAAAAGAUCACUUCAGUUCUAUUGGGUAUCAUUCAUUGGUAACACUGCUGAUUUCAUACAGCCCUCAUGUAGCUGCUUCACCCUCUCCUAAUUCAAGCUAAGGAACUCUUAGGAAACAUGAGCUCAGACAUUAAUGAAGGAUGUGCUGCGUGUGACAGCAGCAGUAAAAAUACACGGAGUGGCAGCCAGAGAGAGAGGCCUGGGGCUGGCUGAUCCUCCAGAAGAGCAGGAAUCUCCGAACAGUGUAAUUAGUUCAUUAAGUGCCAUCAGAGAGGACAGAGGGAUGAUGGCCCCGGGAUGCCGAGGUGAGGGCCCGCGGGCGCUGUCCAGAAGGCAGUGAACCCGGCUUCCCAUUUCACUUUCACCAGCUCCAAACCCAAAUGUGUUUUUUAAGUGUGACAAUCGGUACGUUUUGUGUGAAUCGUUAUCCAAGGCACAAGACCUUACACUGUCACUGCAAAUAGGAUCAAAUUAAGCAGCCGCAGACACGGAGCACAAAGCUGAGAAGGAGCUGAAAUGGCAGAAAUGGAAAUAGAGCCAAGUUGCUUAGCAACCAUCCCCUCUCCCCCUGGAUUGUGUGGGCCCUGAGACACCCGCACUGCCAGCAGCUGUUGCUUGUAACGUAAAGGAGCGUUCCCAUAUUGCCAUGUGCCGAGCAGCACCGCACCGUGCUGCACAGGUAACGUCCCAGGCACGGCAGGGCCUGCUGAGUGUGGCCAGAGGGCCCUGCAAUGCCACUGCCCUUUGUUUUCCUAAAAGCAGGGCAGCUCACCUGCCUAGGGUGGUCUUCUCCAGAGAAAAGUCACUGGGAAUGCAGAACAAGAAGGGCUCUUCAUCUGCACCAAUUCCUUCUCCAGCACCAAACUGAAACCUUCACUCGCACUGUACUGAUGCUCCAGAAACCUCAGCCUGGGCAUUCAGGGCCAUUUCUGGAGGAACACCCCAAAGUUUGCUAUGGGUUAUCUGUGGGUGAAAGAGUUCCAUUUUGGAGGUCAUCAGAUUGUUGCAGAAGCUGCGUUUUCUUCAUUUACUAUGCUAAUGAACAGUUUCCUGGAUGGAUGCAGCUUUGGAGGCAUUCAUCUCAGACCCUCCUGUAGAGAUAACACUAAAAUCCACCUGUGUGCUGAAGUGAUGUUUGCCUUUGCAGCCUGAGUGGCCAGCAAUGAGAGCAGCCCUGGGGAGGUGGUGCUCAGCCGGAGGGCAGCCCUGAGGGGAUGCUUUUGCCUGGGCUCUGGUCCUCUCUUUUAAGAAUUUAGAGUUCUGUUCAAUGCUAAUCUCUUCUCAAGUUUUAUUCAUUUGAUUGGAAGUGCUGCAGGGUGCCAGGAGAUAAUGGUAAUAAAUAAUAAAUAAUAAAAUGCACUAGUGUUGGGAAAAGCUUUAAAGUCUGCCAAAGGUAAUUUAAAUAUUUCCAUCAGAUGUUCUUUGAAAGAUGAGUUUUGCUAACAAACACUUUCUGGUGCCAUUAUGGUAUUUGAUUUGGCUUUGCUGAGGCACAUUAGGUUGGAAGAUGCAUGCAAAACAAGGCUGGAAAAAUUGCCCUCCUCAGCCCUGCCUGCACACCGCUCUGCAGAGGAGGCAGGGCUGUCUGCAGCAGGUUGGCAUGCAGAGGAGGUGUUCCUGCUGCUUCACAUAGAAAGUGUUAUCUGUGAGACUCCUGCUAGCAGGGAGAGAGAAAACACAUUUAUGUAGUCAGGAAGAUGGAAGUCUUGCCGUUUUCUUUUUCUCAUGUAUCCAUAUAAAGCAAACAGCUUGGGAAGGAAAACCAACCCAAACCCACAUGCACAAAAACUGUGUAAAAACAUGGAAUAAAGUUUCUGGAACAAAA
This is a long non-coding RNA of Gallus gallus (chicken), 7587 nucleotides long. RefSeq lists it as uncharacterized. NCBI's taxonomy places the organism in Eukaryota, Metazoa, Chordata, Aves, Galliformes, Phasianidae. The record is from RefSeq and is a predicted model, not a curated record. The transcript has 5 exons.